This 407-nucleotide ribosomal RNA is filed under the name uncultured bacterium. Its description in RNAcentral is "bacterial SSU rRNA". It matches the Rfam family "Bacterial small subunit ribosomal RNA", at positions 335 to 731 of the family's 1533-position model. The record is from RNAcentral.
ACUCCUACGGGAGGCAGGCAGUGGGGGAAUAUUGCACAAGUGGGCGCAAGCCUGAUGCAGCCAUGCCGCGUGUAUGAAGAAGGCCUUCGGGUUGUAAAGUACUUUUCAGCAGUGAGAAGGUGGGUAUGUUAAUAGCAUACUCAUUUGACGUUAGCUGCAGAAGAAGCACCGGCUAACUCCGUGCCAGCAGCCGCGGUAAUACGGAGAGUGCGAGCGUUAAUCGGAAUUACUGGGCGUAAAGCGCAUGCAGGUGGUUUGUUAAGUCAGAUGUGAAAGCCGGGGCUCAACCUCGGAAUUGCAUUUGAAACUGGCAAACUAGAGUACUGUAGAGGGGGGUAGAAUUUCAGGUGUAGCGGUGAAAUGCGUAGAGAUCUGAAGGAAAUACCGGUGGCGAAGGCGGCCCCCCU